GAGGGUGAAGGUCUCGCUGCCAGAGGGAAGUUUCCAGAAAAACAGGUACGUGAGGAUCCCUGUGAAUGCUGCUGCAUGAAAAGGUGAGUUUGGGAUUUUGAUUUUGCAUUCAUAUAUCUAAUAUUUUGAAAUCUCAACAAUAACACACCUCGACAAGAUCCUGCCGCGUUUUUCUUUUUGAUUUCUUCCAGACUGAUGAUCCCAGGACCCAAGACCAAGACGGGGAUGAGCCCAAAAGACCACUUGAAGACGAGUGACGGAGCCCCAACAGAGAUGAAGCCAGAGAUGACGACCAGCCUGUGAGAAGAAAGAACAACUUUACUGAGACUUUACCGGAUGCACUGGCAGAUUCAGACAGGAUGGAACAGAGAUGACGGGAGGCAGAUCCAGGACCAGUGCAUGACUCCUGAGACCAUUCAAUUAGCACAAGAGCCAUCUCUCCAAGACCCCCGAUCUCAUGAAAGAUCAGAUCAAGAAACCAGACAAGGAACAGCCCAUGAUGUCAGUCCAGAUUAUGGAAGAGGGGAUGAUUAUUAUAGUGACACAAAAGGAGGAAGUGGGAGCAUCCAGAGGAAACCCACACAGUCGCAGAGAGAACAUGAACAGAAGGAACCAGCUGAGCAGCAGGUUGGUACCAAUGUAAAUGCAAUGUGCCGUGUGAUAGCGAAUUGUUCCAGACUGCUACUGAAUCUGAAUCUCACACACACAUCUGUGAUUUGUUUCUUCCAUCGCUGUGACUUCAAAACCAAAGAAGAUAAAGAGACGGUUGGAGGAGCCCCAAGACAGAAGAAACAGGCCAGGAAGACAAAGAAGAAGAAGAAGAAGAGGAGGAUCAGCUCCAGAUAUCCCCAAUGGUUUCUCUGGAUCUGGAGCUGCAUGUUUCUGAUCUGCUCUUAUCGGCCUCAGCGACCUCCAAAGUCUUCAUGUUCUCUUCCUCCUCUCUACCCUCAACCCAACCAGAGUUUUUUUUUUUUAACUUCCCAGAUGGAAGUUUUUUUUUCUCACCCCAACUGGAGUUGUGUUUUUUUUUACUUCCCAACAACAGGAAGUUUUUUUUCCCUCCACACUGGUACCACAUACUUGAUCUGAUCAUACUGCAAAAAGAGAGAUCCUCAAAUAAAA
This is a long non-coding RNA of Amphiprion ocellaris (clown anemonefish), 1122 nucleotides long. The record is from Ensembl. NCBI's taxonomy places the organism in Eukaryota, Metazoa, Chordata, Actinopteri, Pomacentridae.